CAGAGGCUGGUCUUUUGACACGCGUCAAUCACAUGUUUAUCCUUGAGAGUGGGUUACGUGGAACCUAAGAGAGCACAGGGCUUUUGACUCGGAAUUGGAUAAAAUGGCUAUUCCCACUGGAUGAUGUUACUCUAUAAAAUUACAAAAGAAAACUAAAACAAACUCAUUUCACUUGCUGAUUUACCAGGUGGGCAAGAUCAUCGACAUAGUAUCCAACGAAAGUCCUUCUCCGUUGCCAAGGAGAGGCAAACCAAUAGAGUGGCAAUGCUUUAACACCUAUUGUAAGUGUAACAAAUUGAGAUAGAUGAGCUGUUUAAUAAAUUGGUCAAAUUUAGAUGUAGAUUUUUGACC
RNAcentral lists this long non-coding RNA (351 nucleotides) under Phoenix dactylifera (date palm). RNAcentral's name for it is "long non-coding RNA (PDAC_LNC001533)". The record is from RNAcentral. Lineage: Eukaryota; Viridiplantae; Streptophyta; Magnoliopsida; Arecales; Arecaceae.